AUAGGCGUUGUAGUUCACCUCAGCAUCUUGCAGCUGCUUUUGAAGGUCAAAGAAUUUGAUCGAUCAGUCUCGAUCGCGUUCGGCCUGGGUUGCGAGCUAGGAUGAACUCCCUUCCAACUGGCCAAUCUUUUCUCGUGCAGCUGCCAGCUUGACUUCAACAGAGCUGAUCUUGGAAGCCUGAGUCCAAGAUCGAUCGCUGGCGCAUUUUUGGAGUUCCUCAAGCUCUGCCACGAAGUCGGCUUUCCUCCGGGUGUAUUCCAUGAAACCCUUCUUGUGGAGGUCCCGAAAGCGAGUAG
This 296-nucleotide long non-coding RNA is filed under the name Elaeis guineensis (African oil palm). RNAcentral describes it as "long non-coding RNA (EGUI_LNC043501)". Lineage: Eukaryota; Viridiplantae; Streptophyta; Magnoliopsida; Arecales; Arecaceae. The record is from RNAcentral.